This is a long non-coding RNA of Scylla paramamosain (green mud crab), 512 nucleotides long. RefSeq lists it as uncharacterized. The record is from RefSeq and is a predicted model, not a curated record. NCBI's taxonomy places the organism in Eukaryota, Metazoa, Arthropoda, Malacostraca, Decapoda, Portunidae. The transcript has 2 exons.
CACGUUGCCAGGACCAAGGUGCAGUACGGAGACUCAGUUUAUUGUGCUUCAGUGUUUAACCACCGACCACACCACACGGUGUCUGAUGUUCGUCUCAACACUUGACCCGCCGCUCCACUGGGCAGACUUCACGGAGGAAAAGUUACAGAAUGCUGGUACGAGAAUGACUAAAGUCGUCAACUUGCAACUCCAAGACCAGGGAGUGUGGCUGAGGGCUUGGUGCUGAGUGAUGCAAUAAGGAAAGCCGCUUAACAUUCAGAAUUAUCUUGAGCAUGAGGAACAUUAUGAAGGGACUGAACAACUUGAGGAGGCGAUGUUGCCUGAACCUUGAUCACUCACUUUUUUGCAUCACGUCCUGUCUGGAAAUCACACCAACCGAAAGAGUAUCUCACUGUUUUUCUGAAGCAAAACAACCAUUCAGUGUGAAACAAAAUAAACAGUAUGGAGAGUGUGGAGUAUAGUUAUGUAUAAACCUCUCGAGACGCAAUCAAUAAACUAGUAGGGUUACACAA